UCCGUAGGUGAACCUGCGGAAGGAUCAUUACCACACCUAAAAAACUUUCCACGUGAACCGUUUCAACCCAAUAGUUGGGGGUCUUAUUUGGCGGCGGCUGCUGGCUUAAUUGUUGGCGGCUGCUGCUGAGUGAGCCCUAUCAAAAAAAAGGCGAACGUUUGGGCUACGGCCUGAUUUAGUAGUCUUUUUUUCUUUUAAACCCAUUCCUUAAUACUGAAUAUACUGUGGGGACGAAAGUCUCUGCUUUUAACUAGAUAGCAACUUUCAGCAGUGGAUGUCUAGGCUCGCACAUCGAUGAAGAACGCUGCGAACUGCGACACGUAAUGCGAAUUGCAGGAUUCAGUGAGUCAUCGAAAUUUUGAACGCAUAUUGCACUUCCGGGUUAGUCCUGGAAGUAUGCCUGUAUCAGUGUCCGUACAUUAAACUUGACUUUCUUCCUUCCGUGUAGUCGGUGGAGGAGAUGUCAGAUGUGAAGUGUCUUGCGAUUGGUCUUCGGACCGGCUGCGAGUCCUUUUAAAUGUACUAAACUGAACUUCUCUUUGCUCGAAAAGUGGUGGCGUUGCUGGUUGUGAAGGCUGCUAUUGUGGCAAAUUGGCGACUGGUUUGUCUGCUGCGGCAUUAAUGGAAGAGUGUUCGAUUCGUGGUAUGGUUGGCUUCGGCUGAACAAUGCACUUAUUGGACGUUUUUCCUGCUGUGGCGUGAUGGGCUGGUGAACCAUAGCUCGGUGGCUUGGCUUUUGAAUUGGCUUUGCUGUUGCGAAGUAGGGUGGCAGCUUCGGUUGUCGAGGGUCGAUCCAUUUGGGAACUUAAUGUGUACUUCGGUAUGCAUCUCAAUUGGACCUGAUAUCAGGCAAGAUUACCCGCUGAACUUAAGCAUAUCAAUAAGCGGAGGA
This 892-nucleotide ribosomal RNA is filed under the name Phytophthora nicotianae (black shank of tobacco agent). RNAcentral describes it as "eukaryotic LSU rRNA". The stretch from base 260 to 414 matches the Rfam family "5.8S ribosomal RNA". The record is from RNAcentral. Lineage: Eukaryota; Oomycota; Peronosporomycetes; Peronosporales; Peronosporaceae.